This is a non-coding RNA of Daphnia pulex (common water flea), 74 nucleotides long. The record is from the annotation of a RefSeq genome assembly. Lineage: Eukaryota; Metazoa; Arthropoda; Branchiopoda; Diplostraca; Daphniidae.
GCUUCCGUAGUGUAGUUGGUUAUCACGUCUGCUUUACACGCAGAAGGUCCUCAGUUCGAACCUGGGCGGGAGCA